Molecule: non-coding RNA, 426 nt
Organism: Pelobates cultripes (western spadefoot toad)
Lineage: Eukaryota; Metazoa; Chordata; Amphibia; Anura; Pelobatidae
Source: the annotation of a GenBank genome assembly
UGGAAACUCUCUGAUGAAUCUCAUGUGUUUGAACUGGCACCAUUCCUCCUGCACCAUACCCAUCUUCAACCACAGUCAUAGAAAUAUAGUUCAAUAGUUCAGAGACUAUUGAACAUGGCCAAAGCAGUUAUCCUGCUGUUCUGGAGGCUCUUGUGUACACCACCACUGGCAAGAUAGGAAAGCGAGGUGGAAGAUACUUGAUGCUUUAAAAAAACUAAAGGCAGUUACGAUGAACCUAGAGAACAAUACAAGAAUAGAUGGCACUAUAGGCUGGACCUCCUCUCCUCCCCAGCUGCUGAUCCACCCUUCCCUGCGACAUUAAUUAGCAGAAUCACCUUAAAUUCUUUACUGGGUGACUCUCUUGUAUGGAGGCGGGGUCUUAUGGGUGCAACUCUGGGCAUCUCACACCACUACACUAGCCUCUUC